This 253-nucleotide ribosomal RNA is filed under the name uncultured bacterium. RNAcentral describes it as "partial 16S ribosomal RNA". It matches the Rfam family "Bacterial small subunit ribosomal RNA", at positions 524 to 776 of the family's 1533-position model. The record is from RNAcentral.
UACGUAGGGGGCUAGCGUUGUCCGGAAUCAUUGGGCGUAAAGAGCGUGUAGGCGGCUCGAUAAGUCCGCUGUGAAAGUCCAGGGCUCAACCCUGGGAUGCCGGUGGAUACUGUCGGGCUCGAGUCCGGAAGAGGCGAGUGGAAUUCCUGGUGUAGCGGUGAAAUGCGCAGAUAUCAGGAAGAACACCCGUGGCGAAGGCGGCUCUCUGGGACGGUACUGACGCUGAGACGCGAAAGCGUGGGGAGCAAACAGG